GCAGCCCAGAGUCUGAAUCAGCUUGUGUGUUAGUGGAACGGUCUGGAAAGUCCGACGGUACAGGGUGAUAGUCCCGUACACCAAAAUGCACAGGUUGUGGACUCGAAGAGUAGGGCGGGACACGUGGUAUCCUGUCUGAAUAUGGGGGGACCAUCCUCCAAGGCUAAAUACUCCUGACUGACCGAUAGUGAACAAGUACCGUGAGGGAAAGGCGAAAAGAACCCCGGCGAGGGGAGUGAAAAAGAACCUGAGACCGUGUACGUACAAGCAGUGGGAGCACCUUCGGGUGUGACUGCGUACCUUUUGUAUAAUGGGUCAGCGACUUAUAUUCUGUAGCAAGGUUAACCGUAUAGGGGAGCCGCAGGGAAACCGAGUCUUAACUGGGCGUUAAGUUGCAGGGUAUAGACCCGAAACCCGGUGAUCUAGCCCAUGGGCAGGUUGAAGGUUGGGUAACACUAACUGGAGGACCGAACCGACUAAUGUUGAAAAAUUAGCGGAUGACUUGUGGCUGGGGGUGAAAGGCCAAACAAACCGGGAGAUAGCUGGUUCUCCCCGAAAGCUAUUUAGGUAGCGCCUCGUGAAUUCAUCUUCGGGGGGAGAGCACUGUUUCGGCUAGGGGGUCAUCCCGACUUACCAACCCGAUGCAAACUACGAAUACCGAAGAAUGUUGUCACGGGAGACACACGGCGGGUGCUAACGUCCGUCGUGAAGAGGGAAACAACCCAGACCGCCAGCUAAGGUCCCAAAGUCAUGGUUAAGUGGGAAACGA
Molecule: ribosomal RNA, 769 nt
Filed under: Klebsiella pneumoniae
Lineage: Bacteria; Pseudomonadati; Pseudomonadota; Gammaproteobacteria; Enterobacterales; Enterobacteriaceae
Description: partial 23S ribosomal RNA
Rfam family: Bacterial large subunit ribosomal RNA
Source: RNAcentral